RNAcentral lists this ribosomal RNA (485 nucleotides) under uncultured bacterium. RNAcentral describes it as "bacterial SSU rRNA". It matches the Rfam family "Bacterial small subunit ribosomal RNA", at positions 28 to 496 of the family's 1533-position model. The record is from RNAcentral.
GACGAACGCUGGCGGCGUGCCUAAUACAUGCAAGUUGAGCGCUGAAGGUUGGUACUUGUACCGACUGGAUGAGCAGCGAACGGGUGAGUAACGCGUGGGGAAUCUGCCUUUGAGCGGGGGACAACAUUUGGAAACGAAUGCUAAUACCGCAUAAAAACUUUAAACACAAGUUUUAAGUUUGAAAGAUGCAAUUGCAUCACUCAAAGAUGAUCCCGCGUUGUAUUAGCUAGUUGGUGAGGUAAAGGCUCACCAAGGCGAUGAUACAUAGCCGACCUGAGAGGGUGAUCGGCCACAUUGGGACUGAGACACGGCCCAAACUCCUACGGGAGGCAGCAGUAGGGAAUUUUCGUCAAUGGGGGGAACCCUGAACGAGCAAUGCCGCGUGAGUGAAGAAGGUCUUCGGAUCGUAAAGCUCUGUUGUAAGAGAAAAACGACAUUCAUAGGGAAUGAUGAGUGAGUGAUGGUAUCUUACCAGAAAGUCACGG